UACAUGGGGUGCAAACGUUGCUCGGAAUUAUUGGGCGUAAAGCGCGCGUAGGCGGUUACUCAAGUCGGAUGUGAAAGCCCUCGGCUUAACUGAGGAAGUGCACCCGAAACUGAGUAGCUAGAGUACCAAAGAGGGUCGCGGAAUUCCCGGUGUAGAGGUGAAAUUCGUAGAUAUCGGGAGGAACACCGGUGGCGAAGGCGGCGACCUGGGUGGAUACUGACGCUGGGGCGCGAAAGCGUGGGGAGCAAACAGG
Molecule: ribosomal RNA, 253 nt
Filed under: uncultured bacterium
Lineage: Bacteria
Description: partial 16S ribosomal RNA
Rfam family: Bacterial small subunit ribosomal RNA
Source: RNAcentral